This 700-nucleotide ribosomal RNA is filed under the name uncultured Bacteroidota bacterium. RNAcentral's name for it is "bacterial SSU rRNA". It matches the Rfam family "Bacterial small subunit ribosomal RNA", at positions 154 to 855 of the family's 1533-position model. The record is from RNAcentral. Lineage: Bacteria; Pseudomonadati; Bacteroidota.
AAAGACGGCCUAAUACCCGAUGUUGUCCACAUAUGGCAUCUGACGUGGACCAAAGAUUCAUCGGUGGAGGAUGGGGGUGCGUCUGAUUAGCUAGUUGGUGAGAUAACAGCCCACCAAGGCGACGAUCAGUAGCCGGUCUGAGAGGAUGAACGGCCACAUUGGAACUGAGACACGGUCCAAACUCCUACGGGAGGCAGCAGUGGGGAAUAUUGGUCAAUGGACGGAAGUCUGAACCAGCCAAGUAGCGUGCAGGAUUGACGGCCCUAUGGGUUGUAAACUGCUUUUGUUGGGGAGUAAAGUGAGGCACGCGUGCCUUUUUGCAUUUACCCUUCGAAUAAGGACCGGCUAAUUCCGUGCCAGCAGCCGCGGUAAUACGGAAGGUCCAGGCGUUAUCCGGAUUUAUUGGGUUUAAAGGGAGUGUAGGCGGUCUGUUAAGCGUGUUGUGAAAUUUAGGUGCUCAACAUUUAACUUGCAGCGCGAACUGGCGGACUUGAGUGCACGCAACGUAUGCGGAAUUCAUGGUGUAGCGGUGAAAUGCUUAGAUAUCAUGACGAACUCCGAUUGCGAAGGCAGCGUACGGGAGUGUUACUGACGCUUAAGCUCGAAGGUGCGGGUAUCGAACAGGAUUAGAUACCCUGGUAGUCCGCACGGUAAACGAUGGAUGCCCGCUGUUAGCGCCUGGCGUUAGCGGCUAAGCGAA